Molecule: ribosomal RNA, 429 nt
Filed under: Pseudomonadota bacterium
Lineage: Bacteria; Pseudomonadati; Pseudomonadota
Description: Proteobacteria bacterium partial 16S ribosomal RNA
Rfam family: Bacterial small subunit ribosomal RNA
Source: RNAcentral
UGGGGAAUAUUGGACAAUGGGCGAAAGCCUGAUCCAGCCAUGCCGCGUGUGUGAAGAAGGUCUUCGGAUUGUAAAGCACUUUAAGUUGGGAGGAAGGGCAGUAAGCGAAUACCUUGCUGUUUUGACGUUACCGACAGAAUAAGCACCGGCUAACUCUGUGCCAGCAGCCGCGGUAAUACAGAGGGUGCAAGCGUUAAUCGGAAUUACUGGGCGUAAAGCGCGCGUAGGUGGUUCGUUAAGUUGAAUGUGAAAGCCCCGGGCUCAACCUUGGACCUGCAUCUAAAGCUGCCGAGCUAGAGUAGGGCAGAGGGUGGUGGACUUUCCUGUGUAGCGGUGAAAUGCGUAGGUAUAGGAAGGAACACCAGUGGCGAAGGCGACCGCCUGGGCUCAUACUGACACUGAGGUGCGAAAGCGUGGGGAGCAAACAGG